This 72-nucleotide transfer RNA is filed under the name Sporisorium reilianum SRZ2. Its description in RNAcentral is "tRNA-Glu (TTC) (tRNA-Glu-TTC-2-1)". It matches the Rfam family "tRNA". Rfam says of the family: Transfer RNA (tRNA) molecules are approximately 80 nucleotides in length. Their secondary structure includes four short double-helical elements and three loops (D, anti-codon, and T loops). Further hydrogen bonds mediate the characteristic L-shaped molecular structure. tRNAs have two regions of fundamental functional importance: the anti-codon, which is responsible for specific mRNA codon recognition, and the 3' end, to which the tRNAs corresponding amino acid is attached (by aminoacyl-tRNA synthetases). tRNAs cope with the degeneracy of the genetic code in two manners: having more than one tRNA (with a specific anti-codon) for a particular amino acid; and 'wobble' base-pairing, i.e. permitting non-standard base-pairing at the 3rd anti-codon position. Lineage: Eukaryota; Fungi; Basidiomycota; Ustilaginomycetes; Ustilaginales; Ustilaginaceae. The record is from RNAcentral.
UUCUAGUUAGUACAAUGGUUAGUAUAGGGCACUUUCACUGCUCAGAUCAGGGUUCGAUUCCCUGGCCGGAAA